UACGAAGGGGGCUAGCGUUGUUCGGAAUUACUGGGCGUAAAGCGUGCGCAGGCGGCUUCUCAAGUCAGGGGUGAAAGCCCAGAGCUCAACUCUGGAAUUGCCUUUGAGACUGAGAGGCUUGAGUACGGGAGAGGUGAGUGGAAUUCCCAGUGUAGAGGUGAAAUUCGUAGAUAUUGGGAAGAACACCAGUGGCGAAGGCGGUUGCCUGGAGCUUUGCUGACGCUGAGGCGCGAAAGCGUGGGGAGCGAUCCGG
RNAcentral lists this ribosomal RNA (253 nucleotides) under uncultured bacterium. Its description in RNAcentral is "partial 16S ribosomal RNA". It matches the Rfam family "Bacterial small subunit ribosomal RNA", at positions 524 to 776 of the family's 1533-position model. The record is from RNAcentral.